CCGACCGUUAAGAAAACAAAACAUAAAGAAUCCAAGUUUGACCGUUAGAUUCAACAUAUAUAUCAACUUACCUAAAUGCUAAGAUGAUGAUGAAACGAUGACGUCAGGUGAGAUUUUUUUUUCUUUUUUUUUUUUUGUCAUCGGGGUGAGACAAAAUAUCACAUUUUUACCCUAUUUGUGUCUCUUUCUCUUUCAGUAUCUCUAUCUACACCUCUAGACGGACCUAUAUCUAUAUAUCUCCCUAUAUAUAUUCUUAUCUC
This 260-nucleotide long non-coding RNA is filed under the name Capsella rubella. RNAcentral describes it as "long non-coding RNA (CRUB_LNC001841)". The record is from RNAcentral. Lineage: Eukaryota; Viridiplantae; Streptophyta; Magnoliopsida; Brassicales; Brassicaceae.